UGCGCGCUUACACAUGCAAGUCGAGCGAGAACAGUCCUUCGGGCACUGGGGAAAGCGGCGAACGGGUAACACGUGGGUAUCUGCCCUCGAGCACUGGGAUAGCCCGGGGAAACCCGGAUUAAUACCGGGAUAGCCUUUCGAGUCCUCGUGACUCGUCAGAAAAGGUGGCUUCGGCUUCCGGCUGAGGAUGAGCCCGCGGCGGAUUAGCUUGUUGGUGGGGUAAUGGCCCACCAAUGCUCCGAUCCGUAGCUGGUCUGAGAGGACGAUCAGCCACACUGGGACUGAGACACGGCCCAGACUCCUACGGGAGGCAGCAGUGGGGAAUCUUGCGCAAUGGGCGAAAGCCUGACGCAGCGACGCCGCGUGCGGGAAGAAGGCCUUCGGGUUGUAAACCGCUUUCAGGAGGGACGAAGCCACUCGGGUUAAUAGCCCAGAGGGUGACGGUAACUCCAGACGAAGCCCCGGCUAACUACGUGCCAGCAGCCGACGGUAAUACGUACGGGGCAAGCGUUGUCCGGAUUAAUAGGGCGUAAAGCGCGUGUAGGCGAGCAAGUACGUCGGCUGUGAAAACUCGACGCUCAACACUCAGAUG
RNAcentral lists this ribosomal RNA (592 nucleotides) under uncultured Rubrobacteria bacterium. Its description in RNAcentral is "bacterial SSU rRNA". It matches the Rfam family "Bacterial small subunit ribosomal RNA", at positions 41 to 622 of the family's 1533-position model. The record is from RNAcentral. Lineage: Bacteria; Bacillati; Actinomycetota; Rubrobacteria.